This 31-nucleotide non-coding RNA is filed under the name Homo sapiens (human). The record is from RNAcentral. Lineage: Eukaryota; Metazoa; Chordata; Mammalia; Primates; Hominidae.
AGAGGUAGCAACAUUGUGGCCACGGUUGUGU